UACGUAGGGUGCAAGCGUUAAUCGGAAUUACUGGGCGUAAAGCGUGCGCAGGCGGUUUUGUAAGUCUGUCGUGAAAUCCCCGGGCUCAACCUGGGAAUUGCGAUGGAGACUGCAAGGCUAGAAUCUGGCAGAGGGGGGUAGAAUUCCACGUGUGAGCAGUGAAAUGCGUAGAGAUGUGGAGGAACACCGAUGGCGAAGGCAGCCCCCUGGGCCUGCACUGACGCUCAUGCACGAAAGCGUGGGGAGCAACAGG
This 253-nucleotide ribosomal RNA is filed under the name uncultured bacterium. RNAcentral's name for it is "partial 16S ribosomal RNA". It matches the Rfam family "Bacterial small subunit ribosomal RNA", at positions 524 to 775 of the family's 1533-position model. The record is from RNAcentral.